AAUAAGUGCAGUCGUGGAUAUCCGUGCCCAAUGUUUAACCGUCCGUCUUAUUUGAAAAAUUUAUGAAAAAAUUGAAAAUAUUUAGUCACAUAUAAAGUACUAUUCAUGUUUAUCAUCUAAUAGCAAUAAAAAUACUAAUUAUAAAAAAAUUCAAAUAAGACGAACGGUCAAACGUUAAACGUGAAUAGUGCAAAACUGCACUUAUU
RNAcentral lists this microRNA precursor (206 nucleotides) under Oryza rufipogon (brownbeard rice). RNAcentral's name for it is "MIR812 microRNA precursor family". It matches the Rfam family "MIR812 microRNA precursor family". Lineage: Eukaryota; Viridiplantae; Streptophyta; Magnoliopsida; Poales; Poaceae. The record is from Rfam by way of RNAcentral.